CGGAGGAUGAACUGAGGAUACUCGCGGAGGAUGCACUGAGGAUACUCGGGGGAGGACGGACUGAGGGGAUUCGGGGAGAAUGGACUGAGGGGACUUGGGGGAAAAUGGACUGAGGGGACUCGAGGGAAAAUGGACUGAGGGGACUCGCGGAGGAUGCACUGAGGAUACUCGCGGAGGAUGCACUGAGGAUACUCGCGGAGGAUGGACUGAGGUUACUCGCGGAGGAUGGACUGAGGAUACUCGCGGAGGAUGGACUGAGGAUACUCGGGGGAAAAUGGACUGAGGGGACUCGGGGGAAAAUGGACUGAGGAUACUCGGGGGAAAAUGGACUGAGGGGACUCGCGGAGGAUGAACUGAGGAUACUCGCGGAGGAUGGACUGAGGAUACUCGCGGAGGAUGGACUGAGGAUACUCGGGGGAAAAUGGACUGAGGGGACCCGGGGGAGGAUAGACUCAGGAUACUCAGAGAGGAUGGACUGAGGGGACUCGGGGGAGGAUGGAUUCAGGAUACUCAGAGAGGAUGGACUGAGGGGGCUCGGGGGAGGAUGGACUCAGGAUACGCAGAGAGGAUGGACUGAGGGGACUCAGGGGAGGAUGGACUGAGGAUACUUGGGAGAGGAUGGACUGAGGAUAUUCGGAGAGGAUGGACUGAGGGGACUCGGGAGAGGGAUGGACUGAGGGGACUCGGGGGAGGAUGGACUCAGGAUACUCAGAGAGGAUGGACUGAGGGGACUCAGGGGAGGAUGGACUGAGGAUACUCGGAGAGGAUGGACUGAGGGGACUUGGGGGAGGAUGGACUCAGGAUACUGAGAGAGGAUGGACUGAGGGGACUCAGGGCAGGAUGGACUGAGGAUACUAGCGGAAGAUGGACUGAGAAGACUCGGGGAAGAGUGGACUGAGGAUACUCGCGGAGGACGGACUGAGAAGACUCGGGGGACGAUGCACUGAGGAUACUCGUGGAGGAUGGACUGAGAAGACUCAGGGAGGAUGGGCUGAAGAUACUCGGGGAGGAUGCACUGAGGAUACUUGGAGAGGAUGGACUGAGAGGACUCGGGGAAGAAUGGACUGAGGGGACUCGGAGAGGAUGGAUUGAGGAUACUCUGGGGAGGAUGCACUGAGGGCGCUCUGGGAAGGAUGAACUGAGGAGACUCAUGAAUAGUCUCCCACUACUCUAUCAGAGAUAACCACAUUUUAGCAAACACUCCGUUGGAGUCACCCCAUGCACACAUGUGUACAUGCAGCCAAGCCUUUUCCCACGCUAUUAGCUGGUGCAAGUUCCAUCCCUGGAUUUUAAGCAUGGGUCGCCUGGAAGAGCUUUGUUAGAGGAAGAAGAAAGAGGUGUAUCUCAGGAAAAUCCUGGUUCCCAAAGUUGCACAUUAUGUCAGAUGUACCUGUCUUUGACGGCUGGGAGAGCGGACAAGACCCUGCCCCAGCCCUGGCCAGGAAUGGUGGCUGGUGAGCCCCUAGUUGCAGGCAACCUGGACCUGUCCUCGCGGCACCUGAAGAGGGGAAAGGAGACUUGAGGAGAAUGACUGUCCCCAGGCGACCGCCCAUGAACACCUGAGCACCCAUCUGAUAAACA
RNAcentral lists this long non-coding RNA (1581 nucleotides) under Homo sapiens (human). Its description in RNAcentral is "non-protein coding lnc-SRBD1-3:2". The record is from RNAcentral. Lineage: Eukaryota; Metazoa; Chordata; Mammalia; Primates; Hominidae.